AGUGAACGCUGGCGGUAGGCCUAACACAUGCCAGUCGAACGGCAGCACAGUAAGAGCUUGCUCUUACGGGUGGCGAGUGGCGGACGGGUGAGGAAUACAUCGGAAUCUACUUUUUCGUGGGGGAUAACGUAGGGAAACUUACGCUAAUACCGCAUACGACCUACGGGUGAAAGCAGGGGAUCUUCGGACCUUGCGCGAUUGAAUGAGCCGAUGUCGGAUUAGCUAGUUGGCGGGGUAAAGGCCCACCAAGGCGACGAUCCGUAGCUGGUCUGAGAGGAUGAUCAGCCACACUGGAACUGAGACACGGUCCAGACUCCUACGGGAGGCAGCAGUGGGGAAUAUUGGACAAUGGGCGCAAGCCUGAUCCAGCCAUACCGCGUGGGUGAAGAAGGCCUUCGGGUUGUAAAGCCCUUUUGUUGGGAAAGAAAAGCAGCAGGUUAACACCCCGCUGUUCUGACGGUACCCAAAGAAUAAGCACCGGCUAACUUCGUG
Molecule: ribosomal RNA, 492 nt
Filed under: uncultured bacterium
Lineage: Bacteria
Description: partial 16S ribosomal RNA
Rfam family: Bacterial small subunit ribosomal RNA
Source: RNAcentral